CGCCCAGACUCCUACGGGAGGCAGCAGUGGGGGAUAUUGCACAAUGGGGGGAACCCUGAUGCAGCGACGCCGCGUGGGUGAAGAAGCGCCUCGGCGCGUAAAGCCCUGUCAGCAGGGAAGAAAAUGACGGUACCUGACUAAGAAGCCCCGGCUAACUACGUGCCAGCAGCCGCGGUAAUACGUAGGGGGCAAGCGUUAUCCGGAUUUACUGGGUGUAAAGGGAGCGUAGACGGCAGUGCAAGUCCGGAGUGAAAGCCCGGGGCGCAACCCGGGGACUGCUCUGGAAACUGUGAAGCUGGAGUGCGGGAGGGGGAGGCGGAAUUCCUGGUGUAGCGGUGAAAUGCGUAGAUAU
RNAcentral lists this ribosomal RNA (352 nucleotides) under uncultured bacterium. RNAcentral's name for it is "partial 16S ribosomal RNA". It matches the Rfam family "Bacterial small subunit ribosomal RNA", at positions 328 to 697 of the family's 1533-position model. The record is from RNAcentral.